CAUGCAAGUCGAGGGGCAGCAUUUACUUCGGUAAAUGGCGACCGGCGCACGGGUGAGUAACGCGCAUGCAACCUACCUUUAACUGGGGCAUAGCUCGAGGAAACUCGAAUUAAUUCCCCAUAGUACAUUAUAAUAUCUCAUGAUAUAAAUGUUAAAGAUUUAUCGGUUAAAGAUGGGCAUGCGUCUGAUUAGUUUGUUGGUAAGGUAACGGCUUACCAAGACUACGAUCAGUAGGGGGUCUGAGAGGAUGAUCCCCCACACUGGUACUGAGACACGGACCAGACAUCUACGGAUGGCAGCAGUAAGGAAUAUUGGGCAAUGGGCGCAAGCCUGACCCAGCCAUGCCGCGUGCAGGAUGACGACCCUAUGGGUUGUAAACUGCUUUUAUAUAGGAAGAAAAUACUCUUGUGAGAGGAUCUGACGGUACUAUAUGAAUAAGGACCGGCUAACUCCGUGCCAGCAGCCGCGGUAAUACGGAGGGUUCAAGCGUUUUCCGGAUUUAUUGGGUUUAAAGAGUGCGUAGGUGGUUUAUUAAGUCAGUGGUGAAAUCCUGCAGCUCAACUGUAGAACUGCCAUUGAUACUGGUAAACUUGAGUUUGGUUUAGGUAAGCGGAAUUUAUGAUGUAGCGGUGAAAUGCAUAGAUAUCAUAAGGAACACCAAUAGCGAAGGCAGCUUACUGGACCACAACUGACACUGAGGCACGAAAGCGUGGGUAGCGAACAGGAUUAGAUACCCUGGUAGUCCACGCCGUAAACGAUGCUCACUCGAUGUUAGCGAUAUACUGUUAGCGUCCAAGCUAAAGCGUUAAGUGAGCCACCUGGGGAGUACGCCGGCAACGGUGAAACUCAAAGGAAUUGACGGGGGUCCGCACAAGCGGUGGAGCAUGUGGUUUAAUUCGAUAAUACGCGAGGAACCUUACCUAGGCUAGAAUGCGAGUGACAUCCAGAGA
This 950-nucleotide ribosomal RNA is filed under the name uncultured marine bacterium. RNAcentral's name for it is "bacterial SSU rRNA". It matches the Rfam family "Bacterial small subunit ribosomal RNA", at positions 54 to 1004 of the family's 1533-position model. The record is from RNAcentral.